UACGUAGGGUGCAAGCGUUAAUCGGAAUUACUGGGCGUAAAGCGUGCGCAGGCGGUUUUGUAAGUUUGUCGUGAAAGCCCCGGGCUCAACCUGGGAAUUGCGAUGAAGACUGCAAGGCUUGAAUCUGGCAGAGGGGGGUAGAAUUCCACGUGUAGCAGUGAAAUUCGUAGAGAUGUGGAGGAACACCGAUGGCGAAGGCAGCCCCCUGGGUCAAGAUUGACGCUCAUGCACGAAAGCGUGGGGAGCAAACAGG
RNAcentral lists this ribosomal RNA (253 nucleotides) under uncultured bacterium. RNAcentral describes it as "partial 16S ribosomal RNA". It matches the Rfam family "Bacterial small subunit ribosomal RNA", at positions 524 to 776 of the family's 1533-position model. The record is from RNAcentral.